CUCCCCACUCCUCUUUUAGCAAAUUGCGCGUUUACUCUAUUUGGAGAAUUUUAAGUCUUAGCCAAUCAGGUCAGCUUAGAUUGUGAGGUCCAACUCCAGCCAAUGGGGAAAGGACACAGAAACAAGAACUGCGUUAGGGAUAAAAACCCCUUCUCUCCUUUGUUGGGGUACUCUUGUGAUCAUGGCUGAUGCAGGCAGCACCCUUCUGUAGAAGUAAUUGCCUUACUGAGAAAACUUUUUGCCUGAGUGCUGGUUCUUCUUUGCGGCACCGAGCACUUGUUUCUAACAGAGACAUGUGCCACCACACCCGGUUAAUUUUUCUAUUUUUAGUAGAGACGGGAUUCUGCCCUGUUGGCCAGGCUGGUCUGAAACUCCUGACCUCAAGUGAUUUGCCCACCUCGGCCUCCCAAAGUGCUGGAUUACAGGGUUAGCCACAACGCCGAGCCAUAUUUAAUUUUAAUAUGUAUUAUCUUUAGAAUAAUUUCUUUUUUGAAAAUCUUUUGGAGUGUUUUAAAUUUCUUUCUUGCUCUUGAAACCUGGCAUAUAGCAGGUGCUCAACAAAUAUUGAAGGAAGGAAUGAGGGUGAGAGAGAGCAACGGUUUUCCAAGGGCCUGCACAGGAAAGAGACAGAAGGGCUCCAGUUGUCUUCUGUAACUGCCCCCAGCAGCUUCAGGCUCCAGGCAGGGAGCAAGGAAGCUAUCAGUACCUGGCAAUAUCAGAUUCUGUGCUGCGCCCCACCACCGUGAUGUCAACUCUAUGGAUGCUUUUGUCUUUUUUUGGCCUUGGGAGGGACCCCGUGGCAGAGGCUGCAGAGACCGGACUGGGGGCUUGAAGGUUUUGAUCCCGGUUCUGCUCUUGCUGUCUUUGUGGCCUUGAACAAAUCACAGCACCUUUCUGCACCUGGAUUUGACGGUAAGUAGAAUGGUAAUAGUAGUGUCUGCCAUGGCUAGCUCCUAGGGAAGUCCUGGGGGUCAAAGGAUCUUUGGGGGACUGAGUGGGGUGUGCUGCCAGAAGUCAACAAACCUUCACCCCUGGCUGGGGUAAAGAGGAAGGGAGAAAAGGAAUAGCAACUAAAGCAGGCUGACCAAGAGAUGAAGAUGACGGGGGUGAGCUGGACAGGAACCAAGCAGAAGCUGGGGAAGGAAGUCGUUUGAGCAGCACUGCCGCGAGUGAGUCUGGAUAUACAGUCAGCCACAAAGAUCUGGGAAGUGUUUUUCCAGCGUACAAGUUGCUCAUAACCUUGCGUGGCAGACAUUAUUUGUUUGUAAUAUGGAGAUGCUAUGCAUUUUGACCUUUCUAGAUUGUGUCUAGCUGGUUCAUGCCCCAUCAGCCCAGCCUGCCACAUGCCUCGAUGUGGCACAUGUCAGAUACACCUCGGUAUCAAUACAACUAGCAUCACCACAGCCCUUUUCUCUGAGAGCUCUCCCUUUAGGGGAAAGUCCUCUAUAUUCUCAGUCCUUGGCACAGGGUAGGUACUGGGCAAAUGUCUGUCAAUUAUGGAUCUUGUGAAUUUUGAAAGGGCUUGCCAAGUCUUUGGGAAAUGAUGAAAAAGAUACCUGUCUGAAAUGGGUUAGGAAGAAGUUUUUUUGAGGAUAGGUUUAUGACUCUUCCUAGAUCUAUGAUCCCAUUUUAUAAAUUAGAAAAUCUACCAUUUUGGGACUAACUCCUCAAAAUAAGAGUCAACAUACUUAAUUUAAAAAAAGUUUUAUUAAAUCAUUUAGACUUGAAAGAAGUCACAAUAGUUAACACACUUAAGUGUGUUCUGUACACCACCAACCCAAAUGGAUUGAUUUCAGAAUUUUUAUAAAUAAAACAUAAACAUAUUUACAGUGAAAAAUAAAAACAUGUUAGCAAGUUAGAUGAUUAAACUGUUACCUAUAAUCAGUUUGGGGGAAGUACCAACUUACAGGAUUACAUAUAAGACACUUAAGAUUUCAUUAGGCUUAAAAAGUCCAUAGUUGAAGAAGUUAGUUGUAAUAUAUAUGAUCCAUUUCUUACUACGGCUUUUUUCCUCCCAAAACUAGACCUUUCAACCAAUUUACAUAAAAAGCUUCAUUUUCCCUUUAUUGGAGGUAAAAGUACAAAAAGCUGUAAACCCACCCUAGAACCAUCUAAGGAAUAAAGCUAUUGAAUGCUACAAAUAGGACUAUAAAACUAUGGACAUAAACCGUUAUACAGUUUGUGCUACUUGUCCUCCAAAAUAGUGCAGAUUCCUAAUUUUACCCGCCAGGGACAAAAAUGGAGUCAGCUUUUUCUAGAAAUCAGUUUCAAAAUCAUCAUAUCUCUAGAAAGCAUAUUUCUAGAACAAUACAGUUACCACAUAGGGGGACUUUCCUUCUUCUGCAUUAUAAAAAUAUAUCCAUUUUAGUUCUCACUAUAUAUAUACAUAUUAGGGAUUGCUGCUACCUCCUUAGGCAAAUGGUGAGGGCUAUAAAGCUUGGCCAGCAGCCAGUUUCAAGAGACUAACAAAGAACAAAGAUAGCCCUUUCCUUAAGUAUAGCAAAACUCAGGAGUUGGCUCAAAUUAGGUUAUGCCCCCAAAUCCAGCUUAAAUUUGAUAUAAAAAAAGUAGUCCACAAAAAAAUUGAGCGAAGAACAAACUUUUCAAGUCUGCAAUUUUGGACAGGCAUAUUCUAAGAAGUAGGCUAUUAUCUGCAUCACCUAUUAGGGUUGCUAGCACAACUUAAGGCUAAUUGCUUGGCAAAGGGCUAUGGGAGUUGUUGGACUGUCUUGAAUGUUUUGUUCCCGAUGAACUCAAGGAGCGAGACCUCUGUCUGAGCACUGUUUUUCCUGGAAAGUCCAAGUCCUCAAAUACAGCAUUUUCAAUGAUGUUUAUAGCUUCAGGUCGUUCCAUGGGGGAUGGAGAGAGCAUGUCUUGAACCAUCACAUACUGAAAAUAUAAAAAUUGUUUUGUGAUAAAAUGGCCAGGUUUGAUCACUGUACAGUUUUUAAAAUCAGUGCUGGCAAAAUAUUUCUGUACAUAUUUUAAGCUUUUGAGCCAUAUUCGAGUUUUCAAGUCUCUGAUACAACUACUCAGCUCUGCCAUCAAUGCACAAAAGCAUCCAGAGACAAUUUGUAAAUUAAUGGGCAUGGCUGUGUUCCAACAGAACUUUAUUAUAAAAAUAGGUGGCAGGCUGGAUUUGACCUGUGGGCACUAGUUUGCCAACCCUCAUUCCAAAAAAACAUGGAAAAUUUUUGGGUAUUUUGAUUUUCUAACACAUUAUAAAGGAUUAUUUAAUCACAUCCCUGAAACAUAAAUAUAAUAUGAUUUUUAAAAAUCAUCUUAUAAUUGCAUGUAAAUCUACAAUUAUCUC
Molecule: long non-coding RNA, 3313 nt
Organism: Pan troglodytes (chimpanzee)
Lineage: Eukaryota; Metazoa; Chordata; Mammalia; Primates; Hominidae
Exons: 3
Source: RefSeq, a predicted model, not a curated record